RNAcentral lists this ribosomal RNA (465 nucleotides) under uncultured Burkholderiales bacterium. RNAcentral's name for it is "bacterial SSU rRNA". It matches the Rfam family "Bacterial small subunit ribosomal RNA", at positions 338 to 795 of the family's 1533-position model. The record is from RNAcentral. Lineage: Bacteria; Pseudomonadati; Pseudomonadota; Betaproteobacteria; Burkholderiales.
CCUACGGGUGGCUGCAGUGGGGAAUUUUGGACAAUGGGGGAAACCCUGAUCCAGCAAUGCCGCGUGUGUGAAGAAGGCCUUCGGGUUGUAAAGCACUUUUGGCGGGAACGAAACGGCGCUGGUUAAUACCUGGCGCUAAUGACGGUACCCGCAGAAUAAGCACCGGCUAACUACGUGCCAGCAGCCGCGGUAAUACGUAGGGUGCAAGCGUUAAUCGGAAUUACUGGGCGUAAAGCGUGCGCAGGCGGUUUUGUAAGACGGAUGUGAAAUCCCCGGGCUCAACCUGGGAACUGCAUUCGUGACUGCAAGGCUAGAGUAUGUCAGAGGGAGGUGGAAUUCCGCGUGUAGCAGUGAAAUGCGUAGAGAUGCGGAGGAACACCGAUGGCGAAGGCAGCCUCCUGGGAUAAUACUGACGCUCAUGCACGAAAGCGUGGGGAGCAAACAGGAUUAGAUACCCCGGUAGUC